AUGUUAUCUUUUAUGUCAAAUGAAACUUCAUGUAAAGCAAAUCUUUUUGUUUCAUGUGUGUUUUCUAGCAUCUGCUGGCAUCAAAAUUUGUAUGACAAUCAUACGUUUGAGGAAUUACUGGAAAGAAAACUACUCAUGAAACAUUGUCUUUUUUCGGAAGGAUCAGCUUGUGAUAAUUGCUGGAAGAAGUAUUUUUCGGCUUGUAUGUCCUACUACUUGAAGCAAGCAACCUAUUUUUUUAGCCGAAUGCUUCUGAGCAAUCAAUACAUUUUGAGAAACACACUUUUUCCCUUUUUUUAA
Molecule: ribosomal RNA, 300 nt
Filed under: Triticum aestivum (bread wheat)
Lineage: Eukaryota; Viridiplantae; Streptophyta; Magnoliopsida; Poales; Poaceae
Description: partial small subunit ribosomal RNA
Source: RNAcentral